GGUUUUAUUUUUAAAAAGUCCGGUCGCUUCUAUGACAUCAUUCAGUUGUCCGCAGUGCUCUCACAACAUAAGGCCGUAAGCCGAAUCCUCCCGGUGUAGAAAUCGUUCGCUUUCCGCCCAUCAAAAACACCCUCCGUCGUGCAAUUAGAAGUGCGUAUUUCCGUUAACGGUAGUGUUGAUUUGAUAGAAAACUUGUUAUUGUCAGUGCAUAAUUGGUAGAAAAUUGUGUGCAAAUAUAACAUUAUCAGAGUGACAUUUGGGAUCUUUGAAAUUAGUGACUGAAGACGGAUCUUUAGAGGCGAAGUGAAAGUUUUCAAUACUGCAAAUUCGUCCAGCAAAAACAAACGGGAAAGCAUCUCGUUCUUACUCUCACCAAACGCUCUUUUGGUCACAUUAAUAUACAGCCGUUUCUCUUUGCUAGAAAUCUCCUGACAGUUCUGCUGGCUGAAUCCUUUUCCAACGUGCCAACCGAAACUGUGUGAGUGUGAACGAAAAUUGGGGAUUUCCUUCAUUACGUGACGUUGUUGGCUCGGGCCUGUGGAUGAGUCAUCCUUUGCGCUGAUGAACCUAUAGCUAGACAUAACAAUUGUAUACAGAGAGUUAAACCUGCAAAAGAGAGGGUGAAAGGCUCCAACUGAAAGAGUGCCGUAACGCUUUCUAGCUAAAGGAAGAAGCUAGUGGAGCUGGCAAGCAUCAAAAUAGUGAGACAUAAAUAGACCAACUUUGGUACCAAAAUCCGGCAGUUCGUGACCCACAAUUACCGACUUGCCACCCAUUUGCAGUUCGGAUUUUGGUUUAAAUGUGCUGAUUCCCGAUCGACCACCAAUCAGGACGAUUGAAAACAGGAAACUGGAGUUUUUUAUCUCUCUGACAGUGUCGAAAAAAAAAAAUCGUAAACGAAGACAACCGUCGAGACAUGAAAUCUUCAAAGCUAUCAAAAAACCCAGACGAAUUCUCGAAAGGAUUUGCGCUUGCACGAUACGGGUGUACCUGCAAUAAAAAGAAGGAAGCACAUAAGGAAAGAUAGAGAUAACUUUUUUCCUUGUUACUUGUAUAAGGGUGAAAUUUGUAUGCAAAUGUACACCGUUGUCGGGAAAAUAGACGCUACACGCUUGUUCUACUUAUAAUGAAACAAAUAUCCGUGUAGGAAUAUGUUUAUAACAGCAAUUCAAAAGCAAGUUAUUCUGUUCUGCGCUAAUCUAGUUCUAGCGGUAAAUGAUUUUACUCGAAGCAAGGUAGCUAAAUUUCAGACAAUGUAAAACGUUCCUGAUAAAUGUAGAUUUGGCUCUUUCCGUCAGCUCUCUGGCCAACAUUGGAA
This is a long non-coding RNA of Wyeomyia smithii (pitcher-plant mosquito), 1318 nucleotides long. RefSeq lists it as uncharacterized. Lineage: Eukaryota; Metazoa; Arthropoda; Insecta; Diptera; Culicidae. The transcript is spliced from 3 exons. The record is from RefSeq and is a predicted model, not a curated record.